RNAcentral lists this ribosomal RNA (612 nucleotides) under uncultured bacterium. RNAcentral describes it as "bacterial SSU rRNA". It matches the Rfam family "Bacterial small subunit ribosomal RNA", at positions 885 to 1501 of the family's 1533-position model. The record is from RNAcentral.
GUCGCAAGACUGAAACUCAAAGGAAUUGACGGGGGCCCGCACAAGCGGUGGAGCAUGUGGUUUAAUUCGAAGCAACGCGCAGAACCUUACCAGGUCUUGACAUCCACGGAACCCUGGUGAAAGCCGGGGGUGCCCGCAAGGGAGCCGUGAGACAGGUGCUGCAUGGUCGUCGUCAGCUCGUGUCGUGAGAUGUUGGGUUAAGUCCCGCAACGAGCGCAACCCUUGUUGCUAGUUGCCAUCAGUUCGGCUGGGCACUCUAGCGAGACUGCCUACGAAAGUAGGAGGAAGGCGGGGAUGACGUCUGAUCCGCAUGGCCCUUACGACCUGGGCGACACACGUGCUACAAUGCCUGCCACAAAGCGCUGCGACCCGGCAACGGGAAGCCAAUCGCAUAAAAGCAGGCUCAGUUCGGAUUGGGGUCUGCAACUCGACCCCAUGAAGCUGGAAUCGCUAGUAAUCGCGGAUCAGCCAUGCCGCGGUGAAUACGUUCCCGGGCCUUGUACACACCGCCCGUCAAGCCAUGGGAGUGGGUUUUGCCUGAAGUCGCCGGGAGCCACAGGCAGGCGCCUAGGGUAAGGCUCAUGACUGGGGCUAAGUCGUAACAAGGUAACC